AAAAAGGGGUGGACCAGCAGUAUCGAUUUCGAAAUGUGAAAAAAAAGUAUGAUAAAACGGUAGAUGAGUCAUAUGGAGAGAAAUCAAUCACAGUAGCUGUUGGUUUUUAUUCACUUGCUUUCUAGAGAUACAGAUAGAUAUAUCUAGGCACAGCAUAACAAUCCUUGCUUCCUGGGGUUCACUGUGGAAGAAUAAAGUGUCACAAAACAGUGGAACAUCUGCAAUGAAACAGCAGUUGCCACUCUACAUCAUGUUGUGCUACAGUAUUCAGAUAACGGUAAAUAUUGUUAAAGGCCACAAGAAUUUUUCUGGAGAAGGAUUGAAAUGAAAAUUGGAGCUGCUGUUGGAGAAAAAUCUAGUGAAUGCUUAAAAGAUCUUGCCAGACCACCUGAGUCAAAUUCUGGAGCAGGACUGGUGAGAAAUGAAAAUUUGAGUAAGGAUCAUCAAACAGACGAUACGGCCGUUUCGAGGAUUUACUACACGCUCGGCAAAGGAAAUGUACUGUAUAAUGCGGCUUUGCAUAUCUGGGGGUUACAUUGAAGGCAAGCUGUAUCAAGAGAAGAUGGAAACUACGCUGGCGCAAGAAGAAAGCAGUCGAGAAGAAGUUGUAGAGAAUAGUUGAAAAUUUUUGUAUAUUCAUCUGGUUUUAUAGAAUCUUUGGAACGUGGACAAUCGAAAUGUGGAUGAGCUGAAACCAAUAUCGGAAAAGCUAGAAAUUACGCACACAGUAGAGUUUAUUAUUUAAUCAUAAAAUGGAUAAAAUUCAUAAAAGUUGAAGAUAUUGUUGAAAAUUCGAGUAUACAAUUUGAAAACUGCAGUACAUAAAUUCGCACAAACCCUUUUUUAUUUUUUUAGAAAAAGUAAAAACACAUUGAAAACAAAUAAAGAAUGAUAGCUAUAAUAGUAAG
Molecule: long non-coding RNA, 908 nt
Organism: Armigeres subalbatus
Lineage: Eukaryota; Metazoa; Arthropoda; Insecta; Diptera; Culicidae
Exons: 3
Source: RefSeq, a predicted model, not a curated record